Molecule: long non-coding RNA, 497 nt
Organism: Cyprinus carpio (common carp)
Lineage: Eukaryota; Metazoa; Chordata; Actinopteri; Cypriniformes; Cyprinidae
Source: Ensembl
GUUCUGAUGGGGUUUGGGGAGUUUUAGCUGGUCUUGAGAGCCGAGGAACUUAGAGCCCUGUGUUUGAUAUGCUUUAGAGCAGGGAUCUCCAACCCUGCUCCAACACACCUGUCUGUAAUUAUCAAGUAGCCCUGAACGCAUUGAUUAGCUGGUUCUGGGGUGUUUGAUUGGGGUUGGAGCUGAAAUCUUCAGGACAGUAGCUCUCCAGGAGCAGGGUUGGAGACCCCUGCUUUAGAGGAUGUGCGUGUGUCAGAGGCUGAGUAAUGAAGUAUUUCUCAAAGGAAGUCCACCCUCAUCCGUGUCCCUCUUACCCACACGUCUCACUCCUGCAAUUACAGGCUUCUGCCCGGCCUUUGCAGGGCGCCUGUGUGCGAGUGAAGACGAGUGAUGGAGAUGAACUAUCUUUGCUGAAAAGGUUGGCGGAUGUGCAUCAGCAUGGAAAAACAAUCCAGAUUUGGAAUGCCAUGAAGCCCCCCACCCACCGCGCUCCAGUAUGA